Molecule: ribosomal RNA, 108 nt
Filed under: uncultured bacterium
Lineage: Bacteria
Description: partial 16S ribosomal RNA
Rfam family: Bacterial small subunit ribosomal RNA
Source: RNAcentral
CGAUGCAGCGACGCCGCGUGAAGGAAGAAGUGUUUCGGCAUGUAAACUUCUAUCAGCAGGGAAGAAAGUGACGGUACCUGACUAAGAAGCCCCGGCUAACUACGUGCC